GUUUUCUAUGUAUUUAAGUAUUUAUAUAUUAUAUAUAUCGUUGUAAAACUCACCAGGAGCUGUCACUCUACUCGAUAGAGUGAGAAACGAGCACAUCCGCGGCAGCUUUAAGAUCCGGCCAAUUGAAGACAAGCUCUCCGAAUCGCGCUUAAAGUGGUAUGGCCAUGUUAUGAGGAGGCCAGAAGAUCAUAUGACUAGACAAGUCCUUAACAUCAACAUCGGUCCCAAUAGAUCGGGCAGAGGUAGACCCCCUACGAUCUGGAUGUCCGUCAUAAACAAAGACCUUAAGAAAGCCCAAAUAGAUGUCUCGACGACCCAGAACAGGUACGCCUGGCGAAGAAUGACGAGGAGAGCCGACCCCAAAUGAUAUGGGAAAAGGCUAGGCGAAGAAGAAGA
Long non-coding RNA from Cydia fagiglandana, 396 nucleotides. RefSeq lists it as uncharacterized. The record is from RefSeq and is a predicted model, not a curated record. The transcript has 2 exons. NCBI's taxonomy places the organism in Eukaryota, Metazoa, Arthropoda, Insecta, Lepidoptera, Tortricidae.